AGUAAGUGCUUAACAAAUACCAUCAUCAUCAUUAUUAUUAAGUGCUGAAGUAGAUACAAGUUACUCGGGCUGGACAUAGCCCAUCUCACACAUGGGCCUCACAGUCUUCAUUUUCCAGGUGAGGCGAGGCACCGAGGAGUUAAGGGAUUUACCAUCACACAGCAGACAAGUGACAGAAUCGAAAUCCGAACCUAGAUCCUUGAGUCCUCGGCCCAUGCUCUGUCUUCUAGGGCAUGCUGCUUCUCGCAGUGCUUUGUGUGCAGCUGUCCAGGAGAAGACAAGGAAGACAAUCGAUGGUUGGUGAUGCAGCCGGGAGUUAACAGCGGCUAUGCACAGAUCUGGGUGAGGUCAAGAAAAAGAUGACAGACUCUCGGGUCAAGACCUCCGGCUCCUUGCGCAGACGUCCUCACCCCCCGCCCG
Molecule: long non-coding RNA, 420 nt
Organism: Ornithorhynchus anatinus (platypus)
Lineage: Eukaryota; Metazoa; Chordata; Mammalia; Monotremata; Ornithorhynchidae
Exons: 3
Source: RefSeq, a predicted model, not a curated record